Molecule: long non-coding RNA, 424 nt
Filed under: Mytilus galloprovincialis (Mediterranean mussel)
Lineage: Eukaryota; Metazoa; Mollusca; Bivalvia; Mytilida; Mytilidae
Source: RNAcentral
AUUUCAUAAGGGCAAUACAAUCGACAUUUCAAAAUUAAACAUUUUAGAGUAGCGAGUGGACAAUACAUAUAUUUAUUACAGGCACUUGUGGGUAGUUCUCUAGAUAUUGACACAACCAAAUGUGUUCUUUAGUUUCAUUUAGUAGAUACCAUCAGUCAAGUUUCAGUUAUAUUAGUAAAAUGUCUCUUUUUUUAUUUAUUCAAGUAUCAUUUAUUUAUCGAAAUCACAAACGCAUAUUGAUGUAAGGAUAUUGUCUGCAUCACCCUCUGAUUUACAUAUUUCUUUGAUGAUAUGUUACAUUGAACGGAACACAUUCGCCAUGUUCGAUCUUUUGUUUUGCAGGUUUAGUUAAGACUAGUAAGAUACUAGAAUAAUAAUCAUGCUCAUCGUAAGUAUUAAGUUUAAAAAUGUAUACGCUAUUUUG